UGGGGCGGUGUGGGCGGCCCUGGAAGGGCUAGCCGCUCGGACUUCACCGGGUGGUGGGCCCGCCUCCGGGAGUGGGCGGAGCCCAGCGUGGGACGCACUGCGCGGGUCCGGGCGGGCGGCGCCCGGGAUGUCCGGCUGCCUACCUACCUGCGGAGCAGUUUUGCGGGCCGGGCUGGCGGCGUGGCAGUGGCCUUUGCGGCACCGGCUACUGCGGAGCGCCCUGGGCUUGGGGACGGCUUUGUCGCCUGCCUGGGGGGCCGGAGCCCGGUGGAUCGGCCAGGGCGCGGCUCCUGGAGGGCUGGUGUGGAAGGAGAAGUGCGCGCUCCUGCGUGUUCCUUCCACCUGCAGGGAUUCUGGAAUGACAACCUGAUUACUACACAGUGGCUGCAGGGACAAAGCCUGGCGCCUUCAGGACAAAACAGUGCUAUCCCACAGACCACUUGCUGUGUGAGAUGAAGAGGACUGCCAACUAAAGGCUAAGCUGCAAUCAGCCCUGUUAGAUUGGAGGAAUCAGACUUCCUAACAUGGAAUUUGAGGUGGGGGGAAGCAUUGGCAUGCAUUCCUCUUUGCCAAAGUCUCAUUAGUAAUUCCACUAGGCUUUAAGUUCCUUGAGGACAAGAAUCAUAUUUAUUAGGGUUAUCAGCGUAUCAUCAGGCUGGCACAGUGCCUGACAUAGCAAGUACUGAAUGAAUAAACCUCUCCUCCCUUCA
Myotis myotis is the source of this 710-nucleotide long non-coding RNA. RefSeq lists it as uncharacterized. Lineage: Eukaryota; Metazoa; Chordata; Mammalia; Chiroptera; Vespertilionidae. The record is from RefSeq and is a predicted model, not a curated record. The transcript has 2 exons.